RNAcentral lists this ribosomal RNA (492 nucleotides) under uncultured bacterium. RNAcentral's name for it is "partial 16S ribosomal RNA". It matches the Rfam family "Bacterial small subunit ribosomal RNA", at positions 29 to 507 of the family's 1533-position model. The record is from RNAcentral.
AGUGAACGCUGGCGGUAGGCCUAACACAUGCAAGUCGAACGGCAGCACAGUAAGAGCUUGCUCUUACGGGUGGCGAGUGGCGGACGGGUGAGGAAUACAUCGGAAUCUACUUUUUCGUGGGGGAUAACGUAGGGAAACUUACGCUAAUACCGCAUACGACCUACGGGUGAAAGCAGGGGAUCUUCGGACCUUGCGCGAUUGAAUGAGCCGAUGUCGGAUUAGCUAGUUGGCGGGGUAAAGGCCCACCAAGGCGACGAUCCGUAGCUGGUCUGAGAGGAUGAUCAGCCACACUGGAACUGAGACACGGUACAGACUCCUACGGGAGGCAGCAGUGGGGAAUAUUGGACUAUGGGCGCAAGCCUGAUCCAGCCAUACCGCGUGGGUGAAGAAGGCCUUCGGGUUGUAAAGCCCUUUUGUUGGGAAAGAAAAGCAGCAGGUUAAUACCCCGCUGUUCUGACGGUACCCAAAGAAUAAGCACCGGCUAACUUCGUG